GAAAAAGGAAAGCAUAUAAAAUGAAGCCUAAACGUGAAAUAGAAAAGGGAAGAGGAGAGAGAGAGUGAAAAAAUUCAAAAAAAUUGAGGAAGGUCCCGCCACAAAGUCGUUAUUCAGAAGCAGAAGGAAUGGCGGAAUUCCCUUCCCCUUUAGAACGCACCGUUGCUUCUGCUCUGCUCCUUCUCUCCAUUUCACCAUCUCCUCCAUCUACACCCAUUUCUGAAGAUGAAUGGCUGUUUGAGGAGAAAAAUAUUGAAGGAAAAUGCUCCAGAGAGAUGUCGGCGUUUUGUGAGCAUUCCAACUCUUCCUCUUCCAUACUCACUACAUCAGAUGCAUCCUCCCAUACUCCACCGCUGGAACGCUUACUGUUCUCUACUUCUCCUUGUCGCCACCAGCUAAAGCUUAAUGUCGUGAGAAAGAGUCGUUCGAAGUUAGUAAGGAUUUCCGAGAACCGGAAUCUAAGUUCUACAGACGAAGUGACCUUGUCUUCAGGUUCGGCGUCCUCGGAGACGACUUCUUGUUUGUCAAGCAGUUCAAGCGUGGUCACAAGCACGCCGAUCCAUCGCCUGGUUACGAGAGCAGAGAAGAAAUUAGAAAUGAUUCGUCAUGCAUGGAGGAAAAAGCAGAUCGCAUCGGCGCACAUGCGGCGGCGUGCGGAAGCCAUUCUGAGUUACCUCUCCGAUGGCUGUUCGUCAGAGGUGAAGAUACGGAAAGUGAUUGGUGACAGUCCUGACACAAGCAAAGCUCUCAGAAUGUAAUUACUAAUUCAGUCUUCUCUCUCCCAAACUCAUCACCACCUUCCCUCUAAACUCAUGCUUUUAUCCAAUGCCUCCAAUUCUCACACAUUUACUCUUUCACGACUGUUGAAAUUGGAAGAGAUCAAAAGAUCUGGAACAGGUGGGCGUCAGGAUCCCUAUAUGUACAAGAUUGCUUGACAAACUCUGAGUUAAUGAUCCGUUCAUUUAUUGCUUCGACAAACUCUUAACUCAGCCAUCGAGAGUCUCAGGAAAAUCCGUUUUGAUUAUGCCUGCGUUGUAAACAAAUUAAAUAUCGUAGGAUAACACAAAAGGAUGCUAGAAUUGGUGAUCCAAGCUUCAUACGAAUCGUACAGAGCUUUGAAGUAUAGAUCUUAGAUUGUUUCCCCAUUUUGGAAUCUCCCCGUUAAUAUUUCCUGUUAGGGGAAGAAUCAUUGAUGAAUUCAAAUUUGUGAAAGAUAGCUAUAAUAAUGUUGUAAAAUAAGCCUGGGAAUAUGCCACUGAUUGACUACCCGCUCCUUGUGAUUAUGGGUUAGUCUUAUUCUUAUA
Cucumis sativus (cucumber) is the source of this 1304-nucleotide RNA transcript. RefSeq lists it as hypothetical. Lineage: Eukaryota; Viridiplantae; Streptophyta; Magnoliopsida; Cucurbitales; Cucurbitaceae. The transcript is spliced from 5 exons. The record is from RefSeq and is a predicted model, not a curated record.